CUUUAUUACAGAGUUGUGUCAAUGAGGUGGUUGGUGUUAAAUUGGCUAACACUCAUCACAUGGUUUAUGCAGGAUGAAAUGUGCAGGCUGAAAAAUGGUGCUUUGGGAUAUAUGGUCGGGAUGCUAUCUGAAACUUUUGAAUGUUAUUUUGGCGUUAAUACAUGUCACAUAUCAGUUUGCAAACAAUGUAAAAGAACAAAAAUAACUGAGUUAAUAAAGACUUAUGGUCUCUUUGGUUUUCUUUUUUUUUCUUUUUUUUUAAAACAUGGUCUCUUUUUUGCUUUCUUGAGUAAGUCAGACCUAAAAUGCAGGUGUUUCAGCCUAGGUUUGUGCUUUCUGUGGUGGUAGGGCAGCCAGCGGAAAAUACAGAGCGUAGGGGUUGGUGACGUUUUCUAGUUGCGCUGUGAUUGACUCAGUGUUCUGUCACUCAUGGGGACACUACGUCACUGCAUAAUCCAAAGGGAGAGCUCGAAAAUUCAAGCCCCUUGGGUGCUGCCAAAAAGGUACAUUAGAAGUGCCCAUCCAAGAAGUCUCAAGGUCAUUGGCCACGGUUACAAUUAUAUCAAAUCACGUUAUAUCUACCUUAGCUUUGAUUGGACUGAUGUCAAUAUAAUACUUUCAAAAUCUUAGCUAGCAAGCUAGACAAGCAGUCAUCAUCAUGAAUCAAGUGGAAAAUCUACUGGAAAAUCCUUUUCCAGCCUUGUCAUAUGAAGAGAAAAUAUAAAUAAAAUAUAUUGGUGCAUAUCGGCCAUUGGACAUAAAAAUUACACAACUUAGAAAUCUGCUAUUCAGUGGAGAGUAUGUAUGGUCCAGGUCUGGGUAUAAGGGUCUCUUUUCCAAGCUUAAAAGGAUAAACAUUCACAUGCAACACUAUGGGCCGGAAAAGGUUGAAUACAUUGAUUGGCCAUGCUGUCAAUCCAGCAUGACUUCUGCUGUGUUCAAAACAACUGGAAACUCUGAAAUCUCAGACUUCAGCGAGUGGCACUGCAGCUCAGCGCUAGAGGUGUCACU
Molecule: long non-coding RNA, 1011 nt
Organism: Oncorhynchus tshawytscha (Chinook salmon)
Lineage: Eukaryota; Metazoa; Chordata; Actinopteri; Salmoniformes; Salmonidae
Source: Ensembl